This 61-nucleotide transfer RNA is filed under the name Gammarus chevreuxi. RNAcentral's name for it is "tRNA-Asp". Lineage: Eukaryota; Metazoa; Arthropoda; Malacostraca; Amphipoda; Gammaridae. The record is from RNAcentral.
AAGGCGCUAGUUAAACCAUAACAUUAAAUUGUCAAAUUAAAAUUGCCAAUGGCGCGCCUUA